AGAGUUUGAUCCUGGCUCAGAUUGAACGCUGGCGGCAUGCUUUACACAUGCAAGUCGGACGGCAGCACAGGGAAGCUUGCUUCUCGGGUGGCGAGUGGCGAACGGGUGAGUAACAUAUCGGAACGUACCGGGUAGCGGGGGAUAACUGAUCGAAAGAUCAGCUAAUACCGCAUACGUCUUGAGAGGGAAAGCAGGGGACCUUCGGACCUUGCGCUAUCCGAGCGGCCGAUAUCUGAUUAGCUGGUUGGCGGGGUAAAGGCCCACCAAGGCGACGAUCAGUAGCGGGUCUGAGAGGAUGAUCCGCCACACUGGGACUGAGACACGGCCCAGACUCCUACGGGAGGCAGCAGUGGGGAAUUUUGGACAAUGGGCGCAAGCCUGAUCCAGCCAUGCCGCGUGUCUGAAGAAGGCCUUCGGGUUGUAAAGGACUUUUGUCAGGGAAGAAAAGGCCGUUGCCAAUAUCGGCGGCCGAUGACGGUACCUGAAGAAUAAGCACCGGCUAACUACGUGCCAGCAGCCGCGGUAAUACGUAGGGUGCGAGCGUUAAUCGGAAUUACUGGGCGUAAAGCGGGCGCAGACGGUUACUUAAGCAGGAUGUGAAAUCCCCGGGCUCAACCCGGGAACUGCGUUCUGAACUGGGUGACUCGAGUGUGUCAGAGGGAGGUGGAAUUCCACGUGUAGCAGUGAAAUGCGUAGAGAUGUGGAGGAAUACCGAUGGCGAAGGCAGCCUCCUGGGAUAACACUGACGUUCAUGUCCGAAAGCGUGGGUAGCAAACAGGAUUAGAUACCCUGGUAGUCCACGCCCUAAACGAUGUCAAUUAGCUGUUGGGCAACUUGAUUGCUUGGUAGCGUAGCUAACGCGUGAAAUUGACCGCCUGGGGAGUACGGUCGCAAGAUUAAAACUCAAAGGAAUUGACGGGGACCCGCACAAGCGGUGGAUGAUGUGGAUUAAUUCGAUGCAACGCGAAGAACCUUACCUGGUUUUGACAUGUGCGGAAUCCUCCGGAGACGGAGGAGUGCCUUCGGGAGCCGUAACACAGGUGCUGCAUGGCUGUCGUCAGCUCGUGUCGUGAGAUGUUGGGUUAAGUCCCGCAACGAGCGCAACCCUUGUCAUUAGUUGCCAUCAUUCGGUUGGGCACUCUAAUGAGACUGCCGGUGACAAGCCGGAGGAAGGUGGGGAUGACGUCAAGUCCUCAUGGCCCUUAUGACCAGGGCUUCACACGUCAUACAAUGGUCGGUACAGAGGGUAGCCAAGCCGCGAGGCGGAGCCAAUCUCACAAAACCGAUCGUAGUCCGGAUUGCACUCUGCAACUCGAGUGCAUGAAGUCGGAAUCGCUAGUAAUCGCAGGUCAGCAUACUGCGGUGAAUACGUUCCCGGGUCUUGUACACACCGCCCGUCACACCAUGGGAGUGGGGGAUACCAGAAGUAGGUAGGGUAACCGCAAGGAGUCCGCUUACCACGGUAUGCUUCAUGACUGGGGUGAAGUCGUAACAAGGUAGCCGUAGGGGAACCUGCGGCUGGAUCACCU
This 1529-nucleotide ribosomal RNA is filed under the name Neisseria gonorrhoeae. RNAcentral describes it as "bacterial SSU rRNA". It matches the Rfam family "Bacterial small subunit ribosomal RNA". The record is from RNAcentral. Lineage: Bacteria; Pseudomonadati; Pseudomonadota; Betaproteobacteria; Neisseriales; Neisseriaceae.